CGGCUUCCUACGGGAGGCAGCAGUGGGGAAUUUUACGCAAUGGGGGAAACCCUGACGUAGCGACACCGCGUGAGCGAAGAAGGCCUUAGGGUCGUAAAGCUCUUUCGCCUGGGAACAAGAGAAGUUGGCUAAUACCCGACAGAUUUGAGCGUACCAGGUAAAGAAGCACCGGCUAACUCCGUGCCAGCAGCUGCGGUAAUACGGAGGGUGCAAGCAUUAAUCGGAUUUAUUGGGCGUAAAGGGCGCGUAGGCGGGAAUAAAAGUCAGAUGUGAAAUCCCGGGGCUCAACCUCGGAACAGCAUUUGAAACUCUAUCUCUGGGGGGUAGGCGGAGAAAACGGAAUUCCACAAGUAGCGGUGAAAUGCGUAGAUAUGUGGAAGAACACCGGUGGCGAAGGCGGUUUUCUAGCUUAUUCCUGACGCUGAGGCGCGAAAGCAAGGGGAUCAAACAGGAUUAGAUACCCCGGUAGUCCAAGC
RNAcentral lists this ribosomal RNA (476 nucleotides) under uncultured bacterium. RNAcentral's name for it is "bacterial SSU rRNA". It matches the Rfam family "Bacterial small subunit ribosomal RNA", at positions 332 to 800 of the family's 1533-position model. The record is from RNAcentral.